GUGAACCUGCGGAAGGAUCAUCA
RNAcentral lists this ribosomal RNA (23 nucleotides) under Inocybe serrata. RNAcentral's name for it is "partial small subunit ribosomal RNA". The record is from RNAcentral. Lineage: Eukaryota; Fungi; Basidiomycota; Agaricomycetes; Agaricales; Inocybaceae.